Non-coding RNA from Schistosoma mattheei, 45 nucleotides. Lineage: Eukaryota; Metazoa; Platyhelminthes; Trematoda; Strigeidida; Schistosomatidae. The record is from Rfam.
GCACUGCUGAAGAGUCCAUACUAGGACGAAACGGCCGUCCAGUGU